Molecule: long non-coding RNA, 2543 nt
Filed under: Homo sapiens (human)
Lineage: Eukaryota; Metazoa; Chordata; Mammalia; Primates; Hominidae
Description: HSALNT0020937
Source: RNAcentral
UGGAAUCUCUGCCUGGUACCCAUGGGAGAGAAACCAAGAGAGCAAGAGACUGAGAGAGAAGGAAAAGAGAGGCUGUGAAUUUCUAUAUAAUAAUGCUGGUCAUACAGCGGCUCUUUCUAGGAGUCUAGUUUCUUGCUAAUUGCAGAUGAAGCCUGAUCUGAUGGAUCCCCCUCGCCUUGAGAAUGCUCUGAUACUCUGAGACCUGGAGCUGGAUGUUUAGGAUAAUGCCUUCCUUGGAGCCUCACGCUUUGGGAAGGUGGUGAUUGACUGAUUCGUGCAUGUCCAUGCAAUUUGGCGCAUUCAGCUGCGUGCUUGCGGAUGUGGAUGUAUUUCACAGAAGCAGCAGCCUGCCUUCCCUUCCCUGGAUUCCAUCUGCUGUGCGAAACAAGAUCUGCAGUCAUUCCCAGGUACGUGGGACUUCUCUAGGCUAGAAGGUCUGUACAGCACAGACCAAGGAACUUCCUUCCUAUGAGGUUUAGUUUAGAAUACAGGAGAGUCAACUCUUUCCCAUGUUGUGACGUUUACCAUGUGCAAUUUACUGUCGGACAAGUUAACCAGACCUGCAUAAAGAAUAUCCAAAAAAUCUGAUCAACAUAGUCAGCUAAUCUAUAGCACUCAGAUCCAUAGUUCUUCCAACCUGUAUAGCCAAAGACUGGAAAUUUUUAUCCCAUUUUGUUCUUUUUCUGAUUUUAUUGGAUAAUAAUAUUGAAUUCUAGGACUUGGGUCGCUUUCCUUGUUUUCUGGUUAAUUUUUUUUUACAAUUUUCUUUUUAUUAAUAUUAUCCAGAUAUGGAACUAUAUAUUGCAAACCUGUUUUGUGACUAGCCUGACCAUCUCUUUCUGUGUCGCACCAUUGAUUAGACCCACUUUUGAUGAUGGUAGACACAGCCACACAUGACUAUCAGCUCUGGUUAAUGUCCCUGGCUUAUUUCAGGAUCAUUGCCAUGACAGAAACAUGUCAGUAAUAGGUGGUUUCCACUGAACAAUGACUUGUAGACUGUGGCCAUGCAAGCAGAGCAAAGAGAAAAGAUCAGCAAUUAUCCAGUGGAUGUGAUCCAUGCUGACAGGCAAUCUGGAUAAUUCAAAUAGAAACAACUUCUUUUGCCUCACUGGCAGGUUUGGGGCUGAUUUAGUGAGAUCAUUGUUUAACUUUCUUUGCCUGUGGAAAUGUAGUACGUGUGUUUGCUGGUUAAGUGAGGGUUUGGGGGUUAUAACCACAGCAUCUGUUCAUUUGACAUUCAAGUUUCACUCUGGUUUGGAAGCCCUUGUGCCUACAAUUUAAAAGCAGCAAUACACACCUAACUCCCAGCUGUCUGGGAACUCAGACUGCAUAUGCUUCUUGGUUUUCUAAUCUGCCCAGAGAAAUAAAACCAUCACCUGAGCCAAAGAAUAGUUUGCCUAAUUGGAUUUAAAACAAAAAAAAAUGUAGAGACACACACAGUGUGUUCUAAUGUCGCAGUUGUCUGAGCGACAUUGCUAGCUGAGCCAGACCACUUACCUAGACUUGAAGAUUUACAUUUUGAUGAUGUUUUUCAAGUGCUAUUUUAUCCAGAGGAAGAAAAAGCAGUAAUUUAAGCAGCUGCAGAAUUCCUCACACAUCUGCAGGAAGUCCCUCCUUCUGCCUUGGGCAGCACAGCAUAAUGGAUAGACCACAAACUUUAGAGUCGAUUUGACCUGGUUCAAAUCCCAGCUCCAAAACUCAUUAGCAAUAUUAUCUUGAGCAAGAUACUUCAUCUUUUCCAGCAUCACUUGCCUUAUUUAUAAAAUGUGGAUGACAACCAUUUUGAUAACUUCAAGGCUGACUUGAGGAUUAAAGUUUAUGUAUUCAAUGCACAUCUGUUGAUUGCCUACCAUGGAUCAGGCACUGUUCUGGGCACUGGAGAAAUGGCAGUGAACCGAGCAGACAGAAACACUGCCUUUGGGGAGUUGAUAAUUUAUCAGGGGAGAUAAACAAAGACAAGAUUAUUAAGGAGAAUAAAUAGCAGGUGAGAUGGUGGUAAGAGCCAGAGAAGAAACAUAAAACGUGGGAAGGGGGCAGGGAAUGAUGGUGCAGAGAGAGAUGGAACUGUGAUGGGGAGUUAUAGAAGGCUUCACUGAGAAGUUGAUCAAUAAAGAGGUGAGAGAGUAGGCUGUGGGGAUAUUUGGGAGAAGAGUGACUUGGGUUGAACUGUGUCUCCUCAAAGAGAUAGAUGAAAGUUCCAAAGACCAGUAAUUCUGAGUGUAACCUUCUUGGGAAACAAGGUCUUUACAGAGGUCAUUGAGUUUAACAUGGUCAUUAGGGUGGGCCCUAAUGGAAUAUGCUGGUGACCUUAUAAAAAGUAGAAAUUUAGACACAGAAACAGGUACAGAGGGAAGAUGAUGUGAAGACACAAAGAAUGCCUGCAGUGUGCCUGGAGUGAUGUUACUACAAGCCAGGGAACACCAAGGAUUGCUGGCAAACACCAGGAGCCAGGAGAGGCGAGGAAGAAUCCUUGCCUAGAGCCUACAGAGGACGGAUGCCCCUGCUGAUGUCUUGACUUCAGACUUCUGGCCUCUAGAAUCAUG